UACAGAGGUCUCAAGCGUUGUUCGGAUUCAUUGGGCGUAAAGGGUGUGUAGGUGGCGCCGUAAGUCGGGUGUGAAAUUUCGGAGCUUAACUCCGAAACUGCAUUCGAUACUGCGGUGCUUGAGGACUGGAGAGGAGACUGGAAUUCAUGGUGUAGCAGUGAAAUGCGUAGAGAUCAUGAGGAAGACCAGUGGCGAAGGCGGGUCUCUGGACAGUUCCUGACACUGAGACACGAAGGUCAGGGGAGCAAACGGG
Molecule: ribosomal RNA, 253 nt
Filed under: uncultured bacterium
Lineage: Bacteria
Description: partial 16S ribosomal RNA
Rfam family: Bacterial small subunit ribosomal RNA
Source: RNAcentral